UGAAUCCCGGUGCAUAAGGGUGUGUAAGACGGGGGGUGGAAGCGUUACUCGGAAGCACUAGGCGUAAAGAGAAUGUAGGCUGGGUUGUAAGUUGGCAGUGAAAUCCUAUGGCUUAAACAUAGAACUGCUUCCAAAACUAAUUACCUAGAAUAUGGGAGAGGUAGAUGGAAUUUAUGGUGUAGGGGUAAAAUCCGUAGAGAUCAGAAGGAAUACCGAUUGCGAAGGCGAUCUACUGGAACAUUAUUGACGCUCAGAUGCGAAAGCGUGGGGAGCAAACAGGAUUAGAUACCCGAGUAGUU
This 299-nucleotide ribosomal RNA is filed under the name uncultured Lactobacillus sp. Its description in RNAcentral is "partial 16S ribosomal RNA". It matches the Rfam family "Bacterial small subunit ribosomal RNA", at positions 497 to 795 of the family's 1533-position model. Lineage: Bacteria; Bacillati; Bacillota; Bacilli; Lactobacillales; Lactobacillaceae. The record is from RNAcentral.